UGGGAACGUGCCCUUCAGUUCGGAACAACCCAGGGAAACUUGGGCUAAUACCGGAUACGUCCGUAAGGAGAAAGAUUUAUCGCUGAAGGAUCGGCCCGCGUCUGAUUAGCUAGUUGGUGGGGUAAUGGCUCACCAAGGCUACGAUCAGUAGCUGGUCUGAGAGGAUGAUCAGCCACACUGGGACUGAGACACGGCCCAGACUCCUACGGGAGGCAG
This 216-nucleotide ribosomal RNA is filed under the name uncultured bacterium. Its description in RNAcentral is "partial 16S ribosomal RNA". It matches the Rfam family "Bacterial small subunit ribosomal RNA", at positions 118 to 351 of the family's 1533-position model. The record is from RNAcentral.